UACAUGCUCUCUCUCCUUUUUUUUUUCUUUUUUCAGGAUUCAUAAGGCCAAGGACCCUGCAAAAGUUUCCUUUCGUGUGCACUCAUUGGGAUACCUAUUUUGCCAAGUGCUGACUCCUAUUUUUUUCCGAGCGAUCAGCUGUCUCUUUUUUGCUUACCUUGCUACACCUCUAUUUUUAAUACCCCGGUCACUCUUUCAAAUGCCUCGGGGAAGUAAGUCGGAGGUUCACUGGGAACAGGGAGAGGAAGAGAUUUACGGCAAUGUUUUCUGGUUUGUAUUAUUUAUGAAUUUAUUGGUGGUAUUUGUUAUCUUCCCGAUGGAUGGGGAGUUUCAAUAUUUUAACCGUCGUUGUGAUCCUUUGUUCUAAGUAGCAGGCUAAACCCGGAGUUUUAUAACGAUGGACCCUUUGCAGAGGAAUCCCCAAAACAGAACAUUAAGGUACCCAGCGCUGAGUCACUGACACGUAUAUUUCUGCCUAAAUCGUAAAGCAAAAAUCCUAGAAGCUUAGCUCAUUUGAUCAAAAUCAUAUUUGUCAAACAGCGGUUUCUCUUCUCUCAACACUCCCUGACAAUUUAUCCCGUCGCCAAGUUAGAAAUCUGAGAUGCCGCCUCAUACGCGUGAAGCUUCUUCUCGACCUGCUGGUACCCUUGCUGUGAAGAAAAUAUGCUGCGAUGUGGCAAGACACAAUCGCAGAAAAGGAAACCGACGGGAAGACGUAACCCUGGUGAGCAACCUCAGGGAAAGAGAUGCUUGCCACAACCUCCGACCUUCAUGUAGAACCCUAGCCUUAUUGGAAUAUGCUCCUAUAAAACACAAUUCAUCCCAAACAUGGCGUUUCAACCUUUUUGUUUGAUAAGUAUGAAUUUCUCCAGUUUGUGAACUAAGCUGGCACCUCUUUUAAGUCCGAUUCCUCUGUUUUUUCCAGCCUGAUUAUGCACGGAAUCUCAUUCAAAUGAACUAGAAUUUCUCUGAGCAACGUUGGGUGUAAGAGGUUCCAAACAGAAUUGGACCUUGGCUGUUAAAUGGUAUGCGAGAUGCUAUCUGUUGUCUUUGUGCUUUUAUGAUUGUACUGACUUAUCAUCUGCACUGUCAGUGACCUUCAGGAAAAGAAAUGUAGAAUACACAGAGGAAUUUUCAUUACUUGAAAAAUAGUAAGUGAAGUGAUGACAGAUGGAUAACGAAUACAUGGUUUGUGCCAAGUAACACUUUUUCCUUAAAAAUUUUUUUUCGAAGCAUCUUUAUUUCAUUGUAAACCAGAAAUUGUGACUUUUUUUUUGCCUCCUAAGUAUCUGUGUUAAUGUUAACGUGUUUGCAGUUGUAUUCCAUUCAUUUUUAAUAGGAGCAUUAAAUAAAGAUGAUUCAUUUUAGCUGGAAUUUAAAAUA
RNAcentral lists this long non-coding RNA (1383 nucleotides) under Felis catus (domestic cat). RNAcentral describes it as "lncRNA (ENSFCAG00000048156.1)". Lineage: Eukaryota; Metazoa; Chordata; Mammalia; Carnivora; Felidae. The record is from RNAcentral.